AGUGAACGCUGGCGGUAGGCCUAACACAUGCAAGUCGAACGGCAGCACAGUAAGAGCUUGCUCUUACGGGUGGCGAGUGGCGGACGGGUGAGGAAUACAUCGGAAUCUACUUUUUCGUGGGGGAUAACGUAGGGAAACUUACGCUAAUACCGCAUACGACCUACGGGUGAAAGCAGGGGAUCUUCGGACCUUGCGCGAUUGAAUGAGCCGAUGUCGGAUUAGCUAGUUGGCGGGGUAAAGGCCCACCAAGGCGACGAUCCGUAGCUGGUCUGAGAGGAUGAUCAGCCACACUGGAACUGAGACACGGUCCAGACUCCUACGGGAGGCAGCAGUGGGGAAUAUUGGACAAUGGGCGCAAGCCUGAUCCAGCCAUACCGCGUGGGUGAAGAAGGCCUGCGGGUUGUGAAGCCCUUUUGUUGGGAAAGAAAAGCAGCAGGUUAAUACCCCGCUGUUCUGACGGUACCCAAAGAAUAAGCACCGGCGAACUGCGU
This 491-nucleotide ribosomal RNA is filed under the name uncultured bacterium. Its description in RNAcentral is "partial 16S ribosomal RNA". It matches the Rfam family "Bacterial small subunit ribosomal RNA", at positions 29 to 506 of the family's 1533-position model. The record is from RNAcentral.